CAGCCAUCCUUGAAAGAGUGCGUAAUAGCUCACUGGUCAAGUGAUCGUGCGCCGACAAUGUAGCGGGGCUCAAGCACACCGCCGAAGCCGCGGACCCAUGACGUUGUUCCCUUCAUCGUGCGCCGUGUGCGUGUGGUGGCAGGGGUUGUGGGUGGUAGGGGAGCGUCCUGCACCGGGGGAAGCCUGUGGGUGACUGCUGGUGGACGGUGCGGGAGUGAGAAUGCAGGCAUGAGUAGCGAUACUAGGGUGAGAAGCCCUAGCGCCGAAUGACCAAGGGUUCCAGGGCCAGGCUAGUCCGCCCUGGGUGAGUCGGGACCUAAGGCGAGGCCGACAGGCGUAGUCGAUGGAUGACGGGUUGAUAUUCCCGUACCGGCGAAGCACCGCCCAUGCUGACGCGCGGGUGCUAACCCACGCCCAGCCACCAAGUUCAGCCGCGCCUGUCAGGUUCGCCUGACGGUGUGGUUGUGGUGGUGGGGUCUGGGGACCCUCCGUGCAGGUAGGCAAGCGUGUUAACAGGGGUGACGCACAGUGGUAGCCCGGCGGACCUGAUGGCUUGGUCCGUUCAAGCGCGCAGCCCGUCCUCCAGGCAAAUCCGGAGUGACUGCCUCCUUGAGGGGUGAGGGUGAGGCGUGAUGGUGACCCCACGCUGGUGGGGGAUAACAGGGUGAUCCUGGGGUGCCGAGAAAAGCCUCGACGCGAUGGUGCCAGCCGCCCGUACCCUAAACCGACACAGGUGGUCGGGCAGAGUAUGCCUAGGCGCACGAGUGAAUCAUGGUUAAGGAACUCGGCAAAAUGCCCCCGUAACUUCGGGAGAAGGGGGGCCUGAUCCCUGAAGCCCCUUUGCGGGCUAGGGGGGAGGGUCGCAGAGGCCAGGGGGAAGCGACUGUUUACUAAAAACACAGGUCCGUGCGAAGCCGUAAGGCGAUGUAUACGGACUGACGCCUGCCCGGUGCUGGAAGGUUAAGAGGAACCAUCAACCCCCUUGUGGGGUGAAGUGGUGAAUUUAAGCCCCAGUAAACGGCGGUGGUAACUAUAACCAUCCUAAGGUAGCGAAAUUCCUUGUCGGGUAAGUUCCGACCUGCACGAAUGGCGUAACGACUUCCCCGCUGUCUCAACCAUGAGCUCGGCGAAAUUGCAGUACGAGUAAAGAUGCUCGUUUCGCGCAGAAGGACGGAAAGACCCCGGGACCUUUACUACAGCUUGGUAUUGGCGCCCGCUAUAGCUUGUGCAGGAUAGGUGGGAGACUGUGAAGCCGUUACGCCAGUGGCGGUGGAGUCGUCCUUGAAAUACCACUCUGGUUAUGGCGUGCGCCUGAACCUGGGCCCGUGAUCCGGGUUAGGGACAGUGCCUGGUGGGUAGUU
Molecule: ribosomal RNA, 1361 nt
Filed under: Actinomyces naeslundii
Lineage: Bacteria; Bacillati; Actinomycetota; Actinomycetes; Actinomycetales; Actinomycetaceae
Description: bacterial LSU rRNA
Rfam family: Bacterial large subunit ribosomal RNA
Source: RNAcentral